GCGGGAGUGGCGGAAUGGCAGACGCGCUGGUCUUAGGAACCAGUUCCUUCGGAGUGUGGGUUCGACCCCCAUCUCCCGCACCA
RNAcentral lists this transfer RNA (83 nucleotides) under Candidatus Anaerotruncus excrementipullorum. Its description in RNAcentral is "tRNA-Leu". It matches the Rfam family "tRNA". From Rfam's summary of the family: Transfer RNA (tRNA) molecules are approximately 80 nucleotides in length. Their secondary structure includes four short double-helical elements and three loops (D, anti-codon, and T loops). Lineage: Bacteria; Bacillati; Bacillota; Clostridia; Eubacteriales; Oscillospiraceae. The record is from RNAcentral.